CAGUAGCCACGGUAAUACGUAGGUCCCGAGCGUUGUCCGGAUUUAUUGGGCGUAAAGCGAGCGCAGGCGGUUAGAUAAGUCUGAAGUUAAAGGCUGUGGCUUAACCAUAGUACGCUUUGGAAACUGUUUAACUUGAGUGCAAGAGGGGAGAGUGGAAUUCCAUGUGUAGCGGUGAAAUGCGUAGAUAUAUGGAGGAACACCGGUGGCGAAAGCGGCUCUCUGGCUUGUAACUGACGCUGAGGCUCGGAAGCGUGGGGAGCAAACAGGAUUAGAUACCCCGGUAGUCCCUGUCUCUUAUACA
This 301-nucleotide ribosomal RNA is filed under the name uncultured bacterium. Its description in RNAcentral is "partial 16S ribosomal RNA". It matches the Rfam family "Bacterial small subunit ribosomal RNA", at positions 509 to 808 of the family's 1533-position model. The record is from RNAcentral.